This 519-nucleotide small RNA is filed under the name Pan troglodytes (chimpanzee). Its description in RNAcentral is "processed transcript". The record is from RNAcentral. Lineage: Eukaryota; Metazoa; Chordata; Mammalia; Primates; Hominidae.
CCCGGGAUGCCCCAGCACAAGCAGAGAGGGUGGAGCAGGGCAGGAGUCUCUUUUUAUGUGGGAACAAAGAAAAGAUCCUCAUGGUAGAACCUAUUAUGUGGAUCAUAAUACUCGAACCACCACAUGGGAGAGACCACAGCCUUUACCUCCAGGUUGGGAAAGAAGAGUUGAUGAUCGUAGAAGAGUUUAUUAUGUGGAUCAUAACACCAGAACAACAACGUGGCAGCGGCCUACCAUGGAAUCUGUCCGAAAUUUUGAACAGUGGCAAUCUCAGCGGAACCAAUUGCAGGGAGCUAUGCAACAGUUUAACCAACGAUACCUCUAUUCGGCUUCAAUGUUAGCUGCAGAAAAUGACCCUUAUGGACCUUUGCCACCAGGCUGGGAAAAAAGAGUGGAUUCAACAGACAGGGUUUACUUUGUGAAUCAUAACACAAAAACAACCCAGUGGGAAGAUCCAAGAACUCAAGGCUUACAGAAUGAAGAACCCCUGCCAGAAGGCUGGGAAAUUAGAUAUACUCG